Molecule: long non-coding RNA, 1076 nt
Filed under: Arachis ipaensis
Lineage: Eukaryota; Viridiplantae; Streptophyta; Magnoliopsida; Fabales; Fabaceae
Description: long non-coding RNA (AIPA_LNC001393)
Source: RNAcentral
UUUUAUUAACUGCUAAAUUGUACAAAUCACGUGUUAAUUUUUACCAUGUUUGCCAUUGAUGCAUGCACUUGGCACUGAUAAUCCUACUGAAAAAAAAAAAAAAAGAAAUCUUGAAUCGCGUUUCUAAUAUAAUUUCAAUUAAUGAGAGUCAUGACUAUGUAACAAAGUGGAUCCUUUUUUGCUUCUAUAAAGAAGAAUUGCAGAAUGGUAGCCAGGCCCUAAGAAAAGCAAAGAGAACAUGGGUAGUAGUUUGAAUUUCCCAUAUUUAUUUUCAUCUAUAACUCCAAAACUGCCCCUAUAUUUUCUUUAAUUAGGAAUUGGCACAGUGCUAUAAGAUAAUAACAACAGAGAGAGAGAGAGUAAGAGAGAGAACAUCAUACACUACAGGGGUGUGGUAAAAAUCUCAUCUUUUUGCUUCCUUUAAAUUCAGAAGCAAAAAAGACCAUCUGGGUUUUGAUCUGAAGGGGCUUGAAGGAGAAGGAAGAUCAAGAAUUUGGUAGAUGAUACACAUGUUUAUAUAUACAUGAGAGAAUUAGUUAUUUCAUCACUACCACAUUACUAAUUGAAUAUAAUGAUAAAGCUUGUUGGGUUGAAAUCAGUGAUGUUCUUGGUGGUGUUGACCAUGGCACUCCUUGUUCUGCCACUGGUGUUGCCGCCGCUGCCGCCGCCGCCGACCAUACUCAUGUUUGUUCCUCUUCUGAUAAUCCUGAUUCUUGUGGCCUAUGCUUUUGCAUUUUCUUCCAAACAUGACCCUGAAAUGAUCUCCCAUUACUAUAAUAAUCUAUGCUGUUAAUUUCUCUCUUUGGGAAUACACAAAUUUCAAAUGGAGAUUAUUGCAUGCAUGCAUUCUAUUCAUUAGUAAUAUUAACUACUAAUCUAUUGGAUUUGUUGUGUAAAGACUACUUGAAUAGUCCAUUCUUUUUAUUUUUAUUUUAAUCUUUUAUUCUGCUAUCUCUCUCUCCCUCUCCUUUGAGGAUUAUCUUUUAUGAGCCCAGAAAGCUGGUGCUUUAGAUUGUUGACUGUCUGAGCAAUGUAGGUGAUUUAUUCAACAAUAGGAAGCAUUAUUUUCAUAUUUU